RNAcentral lists this ribosomal RNA (497 nucleotides) under uncultured bacterium. Its description in RNAcentral is "partial 16S ribosomal RNA". It matches the Rfam family "Bacterial small subunit ribosomal RNA", at positions 28 to 507 of the family's 1533-position model. The record is from RNAcentral.
GAUGAACGCUGGCGGCGUGCCUAAUACAUGCCAGUCGAGCGAACGGACGAGAAGCUUGCUUCUCUGAUGUUAGCGGCGGACGGGUGAGUAACACGUGGAUAACCUACCUAUAAGACUGGGAUAACUUCGGGAAACCGUAGCUAAUACCGGAUAAUAUUUUGAACCGCAUGGUUCAAAAGUGAAAGACGGUCUUGCUGUCACUUAUAGAUGGAUCCGCGCUGCAUUAGCUAGUUGGUAAGGUAACGGCUUACCAAGGCAACGAUGCAUAGCCGACCUGAGAGGGUGAUCGGCCACACUGGAACUGAGACACGGUCCAGACUCCUACGGGAGGCAGCAGUAGGGAAUCUUCCGCAAUGGGCGAAAGCCUGACGGAGCAACGCCGCGUGAGUGAUGAAGGUCUUCGGAUCGUAAAACUCUGUUAUUAGGGAAGAACAUAUGUGUAAGUAACUGUGCACAUCUUGACGGUACCUAAUCAGAAAUCCACGGCUAACUACGUG